CUUUUUUGCUAUCUGCGAUAUUUAAAGAUUCGAACCUGCAGCAGGUUUGAGUUGAGCGCAGCGAAACAACGGAGCCGCUCGCGGCGACGGCCCGAAGGGCGAGCGAAGCGAGUCAUCCUGCACGACCCACCA
This 132-nucleotide small RNA is filed under the name Escherichia coli. Its description in RNAcentral is "RtT sRNA". It matches the Rfam family "RtT RNA". Rfam says of the family: This family represents a bacterial cis-regulatory element known as RtT RNA. The exact function of RtT is unknown although it is thought that it may be involved in changing the cellular response in relation to amino acid starvation. The record is from RNAcentral. Lineage: Bacteria; Pseudomonadati; Pseudomonadota; Gammaproteobacteria; Enterobacterales; Enterobacteriaceae.